UUUGUGAAGCCGCUGAAGGUUGAUGAUGGGCGCCGGCUGGAACUCCCUCAAAAGACACUGUCGUCGAGUCCUGCGUGAAGACAGGUGCUGCCAAUCAUUAAUACGGCUGGGGUUGAAAACCAGGC
Rhipicephalus sanguineus (brown dog tick) is the source of this 125-nucleotide long non-coding RNA. RefSeq lists it as uncharacterized. Lineage: Eukaryota; Metazoa; Arthropoda; Arachnida; Ixodida; Ixodidae. The record is from RefSeq and is a predicted model, not a curated record. The transcript is spliced from 3 exons.